GGCAGAUUCAAAAAUGCCAGAUGCGCAAUCUGGAUACGAAAAAGGCAGUACAUUGGUGAUGGCUGGUCUGUCGGGGUUGAAUAUGGUGUAUGAAGCGG
Molecule: non-coding RNA, 98 nt
Filed under: marine eukaryotic metagenome
Description: Pyrrolysine insertion sequence mttB
Rfam family: Pyrrolysine insertion sequence mttB
Source: RNAcentral